CUCACUGCUAUCGAGGCGAGACUAAGCCAUGCUAGUCAAACGACCGAACUAUGUCUGGGAGUGGCAUACUGCUCAGUAACACGUAGCUAACCUACCCUUAGGACGGGGACAACCCCGAGAAAUUGGGGCUAAUCCCCGAUAGGUAUGAUGUCUUGGAAUAGUAUCACGCCCAAAGGGGUUACAUACAUGUAUGUAGCUUGCCUAAGGAUGGGGCUGCGGCCGAUCAGGCAGUUGGCGAGGUAAAGGCUCACCAAACCAUUGACCGGUACGGGCCAUGAGAGUGGUAGCCCGGAGAUGGGCACUGAGACAAGGGCCCAGGCCCUACGGGGCGCAGCAGGCGCGAAACCUCCUCAAUGCACACACGUGCGAAGGGGUUACCUCGAGUGCCACCUGAAGAAGGUGGCUUUUCCUUGGUCUAAAAAGCCUUGGGAAUAAGAGGGGGGCAAGACUGGUGUCAGCCGCCGCGGUAACACCAGCCCCUCGAGUGGUGGGGAUGAUUAUUUGGUCUAAAGCGUCCGUAGCCGGCCGUGUAAGUUUCCCGUUAAAUCCAUCGUCUCAAGCGUUGGACUGCGGGAAAUACUGCUCGGCUAGAGAGUGGGAGAGGUCAACGGUAUUCCGGGGGUAGGGGCGAAAUCCUUUGAUCCCCGGAGGACCACCAGUGGCGAAGGCUGUUGACUAGAACACGUCUGACGGUCAGGGAC
This 701-nucleotide ribosomal RNA is filed under the name uncultured crenarchaeote. RNAcentral describes it as "bacterial SSU rRNA". It matches the Rfam family "Archaeal small subunit ribosomal RNA", at positions 23 to 705 of the family's 1478-position model. The record is from RNAcentral. Lineage: Archaea; Thermoproteati; Thermoproteota.